AGUCGAACGAUGAACCACUUCGGUGGGGAUUAGUGGCGAACGGGUGAGUAACACGUGGGCAAUCUGCCCUGCACUCUGGGACAAGCCCUGGAAACGGGGUCUAAUACCGGAUACAACCCCUGACCGCAUGGUCGGGGGGGGGAAAGCUCCGGCGGGGCAGGAUGAGCCCGCGGCCUAUCACCUUGUUGGUGAGGUAAGGGUUCACCAAGGCAACAACGGGUAGCCGGCCUGAAAGGGCAACCGGCCACCCUGGAACUGAAACACGGCCCAAACUCCUACGGAAGGCAGCAGGGGGAAAUAUUGCACAAUGGGCAAAAGCCUGAUGCACCGACCCCCCGGGAGGAAUGACGGCCUUCGGGUUGUAAACCUCUUUCACCAGGAAAAAACCAAAGGUGACGGUACCUGCAAAAAAAGCGCCGGUUAACUCCGUGCCACCACCCGCGGUAAUUCA
Molecule: ribosomal RNA, 451 nt
Filed under: Streptomyces sp. HVXM-7-9
Lineage: Bacteria; Bacillati; Actinomycetota; Actinomycetes; Kitasatosporales; Streptomycetaceae
Description: partial 16S ribosomal RNA
Rfam family: Bacterial small subunit ribosomal RNA
Source: RNAcentral